Molecule: long non-coding RNA, 581 nt
Organism: Manis pentadactyla (Chinese pangolin)
Lineage: Eukaryota; Metazoa; Chordata; Mammalia; Pholidota; Manidae
Exons: 3
Source: RefSeq, a predicted model, not a curated record
GGCAACAUUACUACGCCCCUGGAGCAUCUGUGAAAAAGGCAGACUGGGGAGAACUGUGUUGCUCCUUCCAGGCUGAAUAAAGCCAGAGUCUUGAAGGGAGAAGGGACAUUUGCAAGUGGAGAAGGAGGGGAAGGGCAUGCCUGGCAGAGGGAAUAACAAUGGCAAAAACAAUGCCUCUUCUCCCCCAUCCUGCGGAUGGCUGGCCUGAACCCAGGAGAACCCGUCUGUUUUUAAGGAUACCCCGGGAAAAGGAUGUCCUUGGCCUGAGCAAGGAUCUGGAUCAGGGAGAGGGUCAACAAGGAAGCGCCAAGCUGAGCAGACCCUAUUCAACAGCAAGAGAAGACUGCUGCAAUGCAAGCAAAAGGCCAGUGCGCGUCAGGGGUUUCUCUCCUCUUCCCCUCACCUAGUGGCUGGUAACAGAACUGUGGAAAUCUGAUGAUUCUUGGACCAAUCAGGAAGGAGAAAAUGUGGGAAUGUUUGAGUGAUUGAUUUAUAAAAAAAUACAAAUAGAGCUUAUUUGAAUGCCCUAAACUGGCAGAGUGUUUCAUACCCAGCUACAUCGGAAAAUAAAACUCAGAAGA